Long non-coding RNA from Gallus gallus (chicken), 439 nucleotides. RefSeq lists it as uncharacterized. The transcript is spliced from 2 exons. Lineage: Eukaryota; Metazoa; Chordata; Aves; Galliformes; Phasianidae. The record is from RefSeq and is a predicted model, not a curated record.
UUAAAAAAAAGCAAUCUGAGUGCCCAAGGUCUCCCAGAAUUGUCAGAUCUGUAGCCAGGCAAACACAGAAAGCUAUAAUCAGGAAAAUGAUGGUGAUGGUUUCCUGAAAUCCAGAUCAGGUCCUGUAGGAAAGACCAAAGUCUGGUUCACGUAUGCCAUCCUGACCUGCAUCCUGCUCAGUACACUGCACAGCGCCUGGUGUCAGCACCAGAACAGAUCUUCAGCCAUCUCUGAAGGUCCAAUCUCCUCCCAGCGCUGAGAGCUGCUCAGGCAGUCUGCACUCAGCAAAUGGAUCAGAUGUGACUCCAAACACCACACAUCUGAGAACAAUGUUUCAUACUUCCAUCUCAUUUUUCAUGCAUGAAUUCCAGUGCUUCUUGAAAAAUAUUGGCAGUUAGAAAAGCCAUGCAAUAUUUCUGGAGCAUAAGUAAGUAUUGCC